GACGAACGCUGGCGGCGUGCUUAACACAUGCAAGUCGAACGGAAAGGCCCUGCUUUUGUGGGGUGCUCGAGUGGCGAACGGGUGAGUAACACGUGAGUAACCUGCCCUUGACUUUGGGAUAACUUCAGGAAACUGGGGCUAAUACCGGAUAGGAGCUCCUGCUGCAUGGUGGGGGUUGGAAAGUUUCGGCGGUUGGGGAUGGACUCGCGGCUUAUCAGCUUGUUGGUGGGGUAGUGGCUUACCAAGGCUUUGACGGGUAGCCGGCCUGAGAGGGUGACCGGCCACAUUGGGACUGAGAUACGGCCCAGACUCCUACGGGAGGCAGCAGUGGGGAAUAUUGCACAAUGGGAGGAAGCCUGAUGCAGCAACGCCGCGUGCGGGAUGACGGCCUUCGGGUUGUAAACCGCUUUAGCCUGUGACGAAGCGUGAGUGACGGUAAUGGGUAAAGAAGCACCGGCUAACUACGUG
RNAcentral lists this ribosomal RNA (468 nucleotides) under uncultured bacterium. RNAcentral describes it as "partial 16S ribosomal RNA". It matches the Rfam family "Bacterial small subunit ribosomal RNA", at positions 28 to 507 of the family's 1533-position model. The record is from RNAcentral.